Gasterosteus aculeatus aculeatus (three-spined stickleback) is the source of this 1390-nucleotide long non-coding RNA. The record is from Ensembl. Lineage: Eukaryota; Metazoa; Chordata; Actinopteri; Perciformes; Gasterosteidae.
CACGGAGCUGGCUGAAAGGUGGAACAGCUUGGUUUCACACUUGGCCGUUAUCCAUUGACUCCGUUUACCUAAUCAGCGCGCCGGUUAAUGAGCACAGACGACAUUGUGGUCCCUCAACACAACAUUAAUUCAAAUCCUCUUUCGCUCGGCUUUAAUGGGGAAACCGUAACAGGACGUGUCAGCAAACCGAGGGAUUGAGCGAGGAGGCGACCUGGGAGGAGGAGGAGGCGAAUCGGUCCAAAGGGUGACAGAGCAGUCUGAGAAAAGGACGCGACAGCAAGAGCAAGACGGUCAAAGGAGUGGCAGAAUGCCGGGGAGGAGAGGACUGGGACGGGAUCGGACGGGACGCGGAGGACAGGAGUCAUCGCUAUGGUAACGGAGAGCGGUGGCGAGGGCCGAGCGGCGCUGACUCACUGUGAUGCGCUUUCAGUGAGACAUGGAAUGUCACGGUGCACCCCGGGGAGAGGGUCAUCACUCCAAGGGACCAGUGGCUGUCACCAGAGGCUCGGUCUGAGACACUGUUGCCGUGGUAACAACUUUUCCGAUUUGAUGACAGGCAUGAAAGGCAUGUUAAGAGAUUGAAUGUUUCUGCAAGGGCGCACACACACACACACACACACACACACACACACACGUAACUUCCCCCCUGGAGAGAUUGGUGUGUGUGUUUGUGGUAGUCUCUUUUUAUUACUUCAUCUUUGUAAGGUUCUAGAAUGAUGUUAUUUAGUAGACGUUCGUUUAGAGUCCACUUGAGAUUACGAGCGGAAUGACGCUCACCAUUAAUCUGUAUUGUGAAGCUGUAUUGUAAUAAACAUAUACCAUCAUUUCACAGCAUGCAAUGUAUGUGUCAUCAAUCUCUGUGAUCAUGUGCAUCACUUGUCAUCUACGCUGAAAUCAGAUCAAUGAAUUUUGACAUGCCGUUGAUAAUUAUUCACUCUGAGAGCUGAGCAUUUGCAUUUCAGAGUGCUUUUGUGUGGCUCACCAUACUGAACUGAUUGCAUUUUCAUAACAAUGGAAGGAUGAAAAUAGAAAGAAUGAGACAAUAAAUGAUGUCUUGCAAGCGUGGAUUCAUGUAAUAAAUCUGCAGCUUGCAGGAUUUUUACUCUCUGCUGUGUCACGCCAACUUUUUACAUCCGUUUUCUAAAUGUCUAAAUAAAGACAAAAAGACAAAAGACAAUAAAAAGGUAUACGAAAUAUAAAAGUAAACAGCUCAGUUGUUCUACUGUGUUCGGCUCAUGUUUAUACUCUUGGAUCUUCACAUUUCAAGAGUCCAACUCAUCUUCAUUUCUAGUGAAGUUGAGCACUUCAUUGAAGGAGUGAAUGAAUUAAGAAGCUCUUCAGCCAUAUCUUAACUCACACUUAAGAAGGCAAAAAGGUUGUUUUUUAAAAA